UAUAAAAGCUACCACAAUGGUAUCUUCUGAAUUAGGUCAGGUCGGGAACGAAGCAGCCUUAAGGGGGCGCUAUCAUGUGUGGUAGUUUUUAUUUUAUG
Molecule: signal recognition particle RNA, 98 nt
Filed under: Amedibacillus dolichus
Lineage: Bacteria; Bacillati; Bacillota; Erysipelotrichia; Erysipelotrichales; Erysipelotrichaceae
Also listed under: 1 other name
Description: signal recognition particle sRNA small type
Rfam family: Bacterial small signal recognition particle RNA
About the family: The signal recognition particle (SRP) is a universally conserved ribonucleoprotein involved in the co-translational targeting of proteins to membranes. Archaeal SRP consists of a 7S RNA and homologues of the eukaryotic SRP19 and SRP54 proteins.
Source: RNAcentral